This 174-nucleotide non-coding RNA is filed under the name marine eukaryotic metagenome. RNAcentral describes it as "6S / SsrS RNA". It matches the Rfam family "6S / SsrS RNA". Rfam says of the family: E. coli 6S RNA was the first non coding RNA to be sequenced, but its function was unknown until recently. It consists of 184 nucleotides that fold into an extended hairpin structure with a large single-stranded internal bulge. The record is from RNAcentral.
CAUCUGUUGUGUGCGUGUUUGAUUUUUAUCCCUGAGCCGAUUAAAGACAGAACAGGAGAUGAGAUUGCUUUACUAUUGUGCAAGCCUGCCUUGAAGUGGGAAGCCUGCGGUAAACAUCGAACUUCCGCCUUGAGCCGUAAGGCCCAGGUCUUUAUCAUCACGGCACAACGGACC